Molecule: ribosomal RNA, 371 nt
Filed under: uncultured bacterium
Lineage: Bacteria
Also listed under: 1 other name
Description: bacterial SSU rRNA
Rfam family: Bacterial small subunit ribosomal RNA
Source: RNAcentral
GUAGGUGGCAAGCGUUGUCCGGAUUUAUUGGGCGUAAAGCGAGCGCAGGCGGAAUGAUAAGUCUGAUGUGAAAGCCCACGGCUCAACCGUGGAACUGCAUCGGAAACUGUCAUUCUUGAGUGCAGAAGAGGAGAGUGGAACUCCAUGUGUAGCGGUGGAAUGCGUAGAUAUAUGGAAGAACACCAGUGGCGAAGGCGGCUCUCUGGUCUGCAACUGACGCUGAGGCUCGAAAGCAUGGGUAGCGAACAGGAUUAGAUACCCUGGUAGUCCAUGCCGUAAACGAUGAGCGCUAGGUGUUGGGGACUUUCCGGUCCUCAGUGCCGCAGCAAACGCAUUAAGCGCUCCGCCUGGGGAGUACGACCGCAAGGUUG